This 273-nucleotide ribosomal RNA is filed under the name uncultured bacterium. RNAcentral describes it as "partial 16S ribosomal RNA". It matches the Rfam family "Bacterial small subunit ribosomal RNA", at positions 524 to 796 of the family's 1533-position model. The record is from RNAcentral.
UACGGAGGAUCCAAGCGUUAUCCGGAUUUAUUGGGUUUAAAGGGUGCGUAGGCGGCCUGUUAAGUCAGGGGUGAAAGACGGUGGCUCAACCAUCGCAGUGCCUUUGAUACUGACGGGCUUGAAUGCAGCUGAGGUAGGCGGAAUGUGACAAGUAGCGGUGAAAUGCAUAGAUAUGUCACAGAACACCAAUUGCGAAGGCAGCUUACUAAAGUGUGAUUGACGCUGAGGCACGAAAGCGUGGGGAUCAAACAGGAUUAGAUACCCGGGUAGUCC